AUAUACCCUCCCAUAAGAGCAGGAAAGGGGAUUCAUAAAGACGUUCUUCUGAUGGGGAAUGCUCUACGAGGCCGCCUUCACAUGUGUGGAAGAUGAUCAAAGUAUGACAUUUCUUCUACCCCAGAGGCUGGCAUUUCUGCAGGCACAAAUGAGCUUGGUUUUCAAGCACUGCUCUUUGAACACAAGGAAUUCCUUUAAUGAUCACGCCGGACUAUAUAGACUUUGGAAUCAGACUCUUUGAAUUCCAGCUCUGCCAUUUACCAACUUUGACACUUUGGACAACGUCUCAUUCUGUCACCCAGGCUGGAGUGCAGUGGCACAAUUAUAGCUCACUGCAGCCUCAAACACCUGGGCUCAAGCAAUCCUUCCACCUCUGCCUCCUGAGUAAUUGGGACUACAGGGUUUUGGAAAUCUGGAUUGUAGCAGGGCAUUGUAAGUUAAAAAAUCAUCUUCCCAUUCUGUUCUUUGCAAAGAUAUUUCUGUUCCUUAAAUUUGUUGAGGGUAAGAGAUUGCAGAUUGCUUCUGUGGACUUCUUGAAGGUGGAUCUGCCUGUUGGUGGAGAACCCUAGACUGCAUGCAGCCAUGCACAUGAUCUGGAGACACAGCAGGUUGUACCAGAAGCAGGGCUGAGGAGGCCUUAGGAAACUUAAAAUCAUGGCGGAAGGCAAAGGGGAAACAGGUCAUCCUCAGCAUUUAUACUCUCUCUCCUUUUGUGCCCCCAUGGACCAAGUUAAGAAGGUGUAGGCUUCAAAUCUUAAGAUCGGUCACCACAAAAUUCAAAAAGACAAGGUCUUUGUCUGUUGCUCAGGAUGGAGUGUAGUGGUGCCAUAGCACACUGUAAUCUUGAAUUUCUGGACUACUGGCAUACACCACCAUGCUUAGGUUCGGGCCACAACAUCCGUGACUUUACCGGUUUUGGUCUCUUCCUUGUAACUUUCGGCUCCAGGAUGCUGCGCAGCUCCUCUCUGCACUAUCUAUCAGAACGUUGCUCUGCGUGCUUGAAAGUUUCGCCAAACAGAAGUACACAAAAACAAACAGAGGCGAAACACAAAUCCCCUCAGCCCUGGAGGAAAAGGCCUUGAAGCUCUUCCAGUGCAGAGGCCACGCAGAGGACAUGCUCCUACCUGUGCACAUCGGCCACGCCUGGGGUGCCUCCUGGAGUCCAGGCUGCUGGCGAUGGAAUCCAUCAUGUUGCUGAUGUCACUACUCUCAACUCCUGAUGGCAUCAGAACACAGGCAGCAUCAAGAUCAGGCUCAAGAUGCAGGAUUUUAUCAUCCAAAUCAGGCCCACAUAUGGAUGAAACCCUUCAGGUAUUCUGCACAUCUCUCAGGAAACCCAGAUGAAAUUGAGUGCCUGCUGCCCACAUCAGCAACCCAGACAUCCCACUUGAUUCUGCUUCUGGAGCCUAAGAUGGGAAAAUGGCAGGUGUCGCAGGUUGCAGGGGAAGGUCGGAGACCAGUUGAGGGCCCCGGAGUCUGUCUGGAAAGAGUUUUCCAUCCAGCCCGUCUCGGUUUCCGCAUCCGUGUGAGUCCUUUAUGACGUCGGGAAUGCCAAGGUCUGAGUCCUUUAUGAUGUUCAGGGUGCCCCGGUCUCACCCCGGGAGCCUCCUCGCUCCGGCCUGCUCCUGGCUACCCGGUGGGCGGCUCUGGCCCCAGCGACCCGCUACUGUUUCUCCAUGCGCUGCCACUUCGCAAAGGCACAUCUCUAGGUCAGUGGUCAGCUGCAGCCAGGGCGCUGCAACUCGCUCCAGGACUCGGGAAUCAGGGCCUUGGUGGGCCUCGCAGAGUGCUGGGUGUGUCGCCUGCGGGCUCCUCUUUUGGAGAAAGGAGGGAGGGAAAGGCCUUGUGAGACGACUCCAGGAGCGACCAGCGACCCCCACAAGGCCCAAGUCCUCCCAGCGCACUCAGAAACAGUCACUUAAAUGGCAAUAAGGUUGAGAAAGACUCUCCCGUGCCCCCGUGCUGGUGUAGUGGCUGUGAUUCAGUCCUUUCACCACCGCAUCCCGGGUUCGAUUACCGGUCAGGGAGUUGUUUUGCACUGACUGCCCACCCGCAGUAAUCUUUCUUUACUCCGCUGUCAGCCGGCCUGCUCCAAGAGCCAGAGGCAGAAGAGUCUCCCUGCAAGGUGCAAACCCUGGCGAAGGAGGGCAAGUCCUGGUGGACGGCCUCUCAUGACACACCCUCUUAUUUAUCUCCGUGUCCACCAUUCGCAGAAGGGGCUUUAGAGAGCGACUGAGCGUCUCGCUCAGGUGUACACCACCGUGCAGAGAUGGCAGCUCUCCUGGAGGUGUACCCAAGAAGCCCACCAUCUUUGCCGCCUCCGCCAUCCCAGAGGCGCCGAUUGGGCUGAGCUGCAAAUAACUAAGAGAGAGAGAGGCCAAGCCAAGUCGUGGCGUUUGUGUGCGGCACACGUCGUCAGCUGACACAGGCGGUCAGCUGAGCCUCCUCACCUCAGUUCGCAGCUAACAUGCUUCUUAGGCCUUCGGAAGAGGCGACAGGAGGCGAUGGCCGCGAGGUUGGGAGGGGGGUGAGCGGCGGGUGAGGUCCUCCAGGACCGCCCAUUUAUUGACUGGGUGGUACAGGAGGGCGAUGUUCGCUUACCCAACAACGACAGCAGGUGGAGUAGGCACUAAUGGAAAACUGUGGCCGGUGCCCUAAGCAGAAGGCAGGUGUAAAAAUCACUAGGACAUCAAAGGGAUAGUACCACAGUCAAAUCCCGCAAUGUCUGUCUACACUCUACCAAGCAAUUGUGCACCCUCCCCCUUUUCCAUUCAGUACUCCCAAGAAGGGUUGGGACGAACCCUGUGUCCACUGUAAAGCUCAGGGGAGAGCGGGAGCGAGGGAGGUGAAGUGCACAGACUGGGCAGAGGCGGCGGGCAGAACUGCGGGGGUGAGAGGGCGCGGUGGCUGCGGGGCGGGAGCCUCUGCUGAAAGGAGGCCUGGGUUGUCCUGUGGGUGACUGUUGGUGGAAUCUUUGGCAGCGAGUGGUUGGAAGAAUGGCGACGGGCGAGCAGAGGGGAAGGUGGUGACCCUGAGCGUCUGGCUAGGGGAGAGGAGGCUGUACUGACACUCGUCUCCUCUUACCUGGCGAGGGACAGACCGUGGUCAAGAAGGGAGCUCUCCCUGGUUGAGGCUAGUCCACCACACUCCAGCUGCUCUGACCCCUGCGAUUUCCCUACACGCGGGGCGCUUGUCUGCGGUGGUGUUUGCGCUACCCGGGGGCUGGGUUCACGCAGGCUCCUGACAGUCCUUGGCUCACCGCCCCCGACGCGGAUAUCGCCGCUAGAGACCCUUCCGCCACCCUCCUAGGGAUCUUGAGGGCCUUCCUUGUUGUUCCGACUGAAGCUCACGAACAGACAGAUGUGAGCUCUCUGUCUUUUACACGUUGAAUUUGGCUAUUGGCAAAAAAAGCCCUGACCCAGAGCUUGGGACUCCUCCCGGCCUGCACACGACUUCCCGACUCUUGCCUCCUAGCGCGGCUCUUGGCUAGCGGGCGGGCAGCCUCCACCCAGCGUAGAACCGCGGCAGCCGCAGCCCCCGCAGGCUGGCGGUCAGACACUAGCAGGAAAAGGGACACAAGGCCUGCGUGGUGGGAAAGCAUGGGAGACGUCGCUUUCCCACCAGGCGAGAAGGUCUCCCUACAGUCUUUGGACAGAAGAUGGAGGGAGGCACCCCUUCCAGGAGCAAGGCGGCUGCUCCUGAGGCCUGGCUCCGCACGGAGGCUCCUGGGUCCCGCGCGCCCUCUCCCUACCGGUUAUAGCCAGAGCUGCUUCACACAUCUCAGCCGGCUUCCUCUUCCGCCUCUGCCACCUCUUCCUCCCCAGCUCGUGGGAAAGACCUAGCCUCCUCUCCAACACUUGGAGAGGGAGUUGGAUGAACGUCUCCUAACCCCAGUAGGACAGAGAUCCUGAGGUAGGAGGGGACCCCUUGCCUUGCUGCUUCUUUUGGCACCGCUGACCCGGGCCCAGGACUCCUCGCUCCUCCUGGAAGGCCUGGGUCGUGUAGCCCACAGAGGUGGCCACGUGGGCAUCUCCCCCACUGCUCCUCAUAGAACCGGAGGCAUUAUCCUGCCGGGCCCACUCUUACCCAUGAAAGAAACUUGGGAAAUGCUCCCGGGGAAGCCGGGGAUCUGGGCGCUCGACCACUUCGGUGUGAAUCUUCCGUCCGCUCAUCCUUCCUUCGGAGGGUCUUGGGGAGAGGAGAAAUGCUCAAGGACGAUGCGCUUUGCAGCGUCUCAAGGGAAACUAGAUCUCAACGGAUACCAGAAGUCUGGAGCGUCUUCCUGGAGGAAGGCGGCCCGAGGCCUGCGGUUGCAGGGAGGCUUGCGGAGCACAGCGCCCUCUCUCAGCCUGAGCUAUCCAGUGGCUUCCAGCAUCCCAGCUGGCCGACUCCACUUCCUCUCUCUUCCUCCUACUGCGGGUCUUCUUCUUCUCUUUGGGGACCGAAUCUCGCUCUGUCGCCCAGGCUGGAGUGCAGUGGCGCGAUCUCGGCUUACUGCAACCUCCGCCUCCCGGGUUGAAGCGAUUCUCCUGCCUCAGCCUCCCGAAUAGCUGGGACUACAGGCGCGUGCCACCACGCCCGGCUAAUUUUUUGUAUUUUUAGUUGAGACGGGGUUUCACCCUGUUAGCCAGGAUGGUCUCGAUCUCCUGGCCUCUUGAUCCGCCCGCCUCGGCCUCCCAAAGUGCUGGGAUUACAGGCGUGAGCCUCCGCGCCCGGCCUACUGCGGCUCUUCUAUCCUGGUGUUCUUUGAAUGCCUAUCUUCCUUUUGUGCCACAGAACCUCUCACGCCCGCCACAGGUUGCUCAUUUCCUUGGUUGUUCUGAACUUUAAAUAAGUUAAUGUAUGUAAGAGUGCCAUAAAUGCUCAGUAAUUGACAUCUGUUAUUUUCAUCAGUAACAUCAUCUGAAUCAUCUGUAUUGUCUAUUUUUAACAACUGCAUUUUUCAUUGUCCAAAUAAAGUCACAUACAUUUGAACAUUAUAUAAUGAUUGAAUAAUAAAAUUAUUCUGCUAUUUUACAAUAAAAA
This 5025-nucleotide long non-coding RNA is filed under the name Homo sapiens (human). RNAcentral describes it as "PREDICTED lncRNA (TCONS_00019559)". Lineage: Eukaryota; Metazoa; Chordata; Mammalia; Primates; Hominidae. The record is from RNAcentral.